This is a long non-coding RNA of Oncorhynchus tshawytscha (Chinook salmon), 338 nucleotides long. The record is from Ensembl. NCBI's taxonomy places the organism in Eukaryota, Metazoa, Chordata, Actinopteri, Salmoniformes, Salmonidae.
AGGUGCCUUUGAACAGGGUAUGGUAGUAGGUGCCUUUGAACAGGGUAUGGUAGUAGGUGCCUUUGAACAGGGUGUGGUAGUAGGUGCCUUUGAACAGGGUAUGGUAGUAGGUGCCUUUGAACAGGGUAUGGUAGUAGGUGCCUUUGAACAGGGUAUGGUAGUAGGUGUCUUUGAAUGGGGUAUGGUAGUAGGUGCCUUUGAACAGGGUAUGGUAGUAGGUGUCUUUGAAUGGGGUAUGGUAGUAGGUGCCUUUGAACAGGGUGUGGUAGUAGGUGCCUUUGAACAGGGUAUGGUAGUAGGUGCCUUUGAACAGGGUAUGGUAGUAGGUGCCUUUGAAC